This 390-nucleotide unclassified non-coding RNA is filed under the name Austrosynotis rectirama. RNAcentral describes it as "partial contains external transcribed spacer and 18S ribosomal RNA". Lineage: Eukaryota; Viridiplantae; Streptophyta; Magnoliopsida; Asterales; Asteraceae. The record is from RNAcentral.
CAACUUCCACCUGGCAUACCUCUUCAGUUAWGUGUCAAGUCUUGUGUUGCCUUGAGCGUAUUGUGGGUUUCUUGUGUUGCAUACCUGAUUGAUGGUAUCGUUUUGGUUUAUCGAAGUCCCUUUUCACCUUGUGUUGCAUUUGUGAUGCAUGAUGAACCUCGAAGCUGUUUCUUUGUUCCAUUAUGUUGAUGCAAAUGCGUCGAUGUUGUGGCACAUUGCGCGUUGCUUGGUAUCCUGGAUAUGGAACGUUAUGUGGGCAUAGGGUCUCUCAUGAUUCUUGUUUUGUCCUCGUUCAGUGUUCUUUAAAACGACAGUUCAUGCGCGCCCAGGCUCGUACCUGCGUGAUGUUCUUUGUCGAAAAGGAAUGCUACCUGGUUGAUCCUGCCAGUA